RNAcentral lists this long non-coding RNA (1909 nucleotides) under Sus scrofa (pig). Its description in RNAcentral is "lncRNA (ENSSSCG00050047460.1)". The record is from RNAcentral. Lineage: Eukaryota; Metazoa; Chordata; Mammalia; Artiodactyla; Suidae.
UGGGCCUUUGGCUUCCUGUCACACAGCCGUGCGACAAGGGGCAGGUUUCUGAAGGACCAGAGAGAAAAGGGGUCUGUUGUUCUCGGGGGCACAGGCUUGCUGGUGGCAUCCCGCACAGACACUCUCUCCUCACAGCUCCCACCACGGGGACUGGAGGCAGGAGGAGCCGACGGGCCCCUGGAACGGCCGCGGUGCGUCCCGAGGUGGGAGCCGCAAGCCCGAGGCUCGGCCGAGUCCCAGGGGACCCUAACGGAGGCCGGGCUGGAAGGCCAAGGUGGCUGCCACGUGGGAAGGUAUCCUUGACGUCCAGACCCUGGAGAAGGAAUCGGGAGCCACCACCCAAAGCAACUGUCCAGGAAAAGUGGUCGCGCUUCAGCCAUCGCGCUGGGCUAGGUCUUCCAAGCGAACCCCCUGUUGGAGCCUCUGCCGUCUAACGUCACCUAAUGUAGCCGAACCUGCCAAGACCCUGGCUACUUAACUGGAACCCAGACCAGGGCGAUCCCCGAGUGUUGCGAGCCCACCUUCCUCUUCCUCGACGGUGGCUCCAGCCCCUUCAUGUCGCCUCCAAGCUCCUGCCCAAGUGUUCCCACCCGCACUGCUGGGAGCAGCUCCUCUGUGUUUUCAGGGCCACUUUGCUGUCGUCCUUUGAAGGUUCUCUUGGCGACUCUAGGAAGACUCCGUGGUACAGGUGACCUUCUGUAUCUGUGGAGGAUCGGUUCCCAGAUACCCCCGCCCACGGAUCCCAAAAUCCCAGGAGCCAAGCCUUGUCUAAAGUGCCGGAGUGCAGCCUGGCCUCCAGAACGCGUGAGAACAGAGCAGCCGUACUCUGUUUCCAACGAGCCGAUGGCCAAAGCCCCGCUGUGCGUGUUCUCUAUGGACUGAACAGCCAGUGGCCCUGUAGCAGUGAAGCCUCACACCGUCCUCCAGGCUGGAAGGGACCCUUGAGUCACAGAACUUGCCAGUUUGCAAACAUGUCUCUAGUUGUAACAACUUUCAUCUGUCAAAUGAGGGCUCUUCAUUUCUAAGGUUCUAGAAGCCGGCCGUGGUCAUAUAGUCCCUCAGCUGGGUGUACUGAAAUCUGGGCCAGAGGCACAGCUUCCUCGCUAAGACACCCCCCCACCCCAGCACCCUGCACACACACACAGGCAGAGGCCAAGCUGCCUGCCUCCCCGCACCCCCUAGAAUGCUAACCACUGGGGACCGAGGGGUAGUUCCUACCUUUUAUAUCCUUACAUACUGAAUCUGGCGCUGGCUCCUGGGCUGCAUCUUCUUAACUGCAAACACUCUAUACCAUCCCUCUCUGGUUCCACCAGCCACCACCCUCCUUCCGUGUCCUCCUCUGAACGUGCCUGAUAAAGGCUUUUGAGUGACUGAAUGAGUGGACGGCUCCCAUCUUCUGUCAUCUCAAUGAGUGCUGCUCCCCAGCUGACUGGAACCAGACGCCCUAGUUCCCAGGCUGGGUUUCCCUCCAGAUGUGUUCUCCUGCGGUGUCGGUUCCACCGUUAAACAGCUGUAUCGCUCAGCAGGUACGCAACGUUGAUGCGCCUCCAUUUCCUCCUCUGCAGAAUUGUGGGAGUUCCUGUCGUGGCUCAGCAGAAUCCGGCUUGUAUCCACAAGGAUGCGGGUUCUAUCCCUGGCCUCGCUCGGUGAAUCUGGGAUCCAGCCUUGCCGUGAGCUGUGGUGUAGGCCGGAAGCUGUAGCUCCAAUUUGACCCCUAGCCUGGAAACUUCCACAUGCUGAGGGUUCGGCCUUAAAAACAACAACGACAACAAAAUAGUACUUACGUCAUAGGGUUGCUGUCAGCAUUAAAUGAGAGAGUCUGUUAAAAACGCCGAGAACAUUGCCUGGCAAUAUACAUUGCAGAAUACUCAAUAAAUAUUAGCUGGUGUUAUUUCAUACUUCAUCAAAC